UAGGGAAUCUUCCACAAUGGACGCAAGUCUGAUGGAGCAACGCCGCGUGAGUAAGAAGGUUUUCGGACCGUAAAGCUCUGUUGUUGGUGAAGAAGGAUAGAGGUAGUAACUGGCCUUUAUUUGACGGUAAUCAACCAGAAAGUCACGGCUAACUACGUGCCAGCAGCCGCGGUAAUACGUAGGUGGCAAGCGUUGUCCGGAUUUAUUGGGCGUAAAGCGAGCGCAGGCGGAAGAAUAAGUCUGAUGUGAAAGCCCUCGGCUUAACCGAGGAAUUGCAUCGGAAAUUGUUUUUCUUGAGUACAGAAGAGGAGAGUAGAACUCCAUGUGUAGCGGUGGAAUGCGUAGAUAUAUGGAAGAAUACCAGUGGCGAAGGCGGCUCUCCGGUCUGCAACUGACGCUGAGGCUCGAAAGCAUGGGUAGCGAACAGGAUUAGAUACCCUGGUAGUCCAUGCCGUAAACGAUGAGUGCUAAGUGUUGGGAGGCUUCCGCCUCUCAGUGCUGCAGCUAACGCAUUAAGCACUCCGCCUGGGGAGUACGACCGCAAGGUUGAAAC
RNAcentral lists this ribosomal RNA (553 nucleotides) under uncultured bacterium. RNAcentral describes it as "partial 16S ribosomal RNA". It matches the Rfam family "Bacterial small subunit ribosomal RNA", at positions 355 to 900 of the family's 1533-position model. The record is from RNAcentral.